GACGUACGCUGGCGGCGUGCUUAACACAUGCAAGUCGAACGGAAAGGCCCUGCUUUUGUGGGGUGCUCGAGUGGCGAACGGGUGAGUAACACGUGAGUAACCUGCCCUUGACUUUGGGAUAACUUCAGGAAACUGGGGCUAAUACCGGAUAGGAGCUCCUGCUGCAUGGUGGGGGUUGGAAAGUUUCGGCGGUUGGGGAUGGACUCGCGGCUUAUCAGCUUGUUGGUGGGGUAGUGGCUUACCAAGGCUUUGACGGGUAGCCGGCCUGAGAGGGUGACCGGCCACAUUGGGACUGAGAUACGGCCCAGACUCCUACGGGAGGCAGCAGUGGGGAAUAUUGCACAAUGGGCGGAAGCCUGAUGCAGCAACGCCGCGUGCGGGAUGAAGGCCUUCGGGUUGUAAACCGCUUUCGCCUGUGACGAAGCGUGAGUGACGGUAAUGGGUAAAGAAGCACCGGCUAACUACGUG
This 468-nucleotide ribosomal RNA is filed under the name uncultured bacterium. RNAcentral's name for it is "partial 16S ribosomal RNA". It matches the Rfam family "Bacterial small subunit ribosomal RNA", at positions 28 to 507 of the family's 1533-position model. The record is from RNAcentral.